ACGAACGCUGGCGGCGUGCUUAACACAUGCAAGUCGAACGGGUCUGCCCUGUUUUUUGCGGGGUGGGUCAGUGGCGAACGGGUGAGUAACACGUGAGUAACCUGCCCCUCACUUCUGGAUAACCGCUUGAAAGGGUGGCUAAUACGGGGUGUUCUGGCUGUGCCGCAUGGUGUGGCUGGGAAAGAUUCACUUUUGUGGUGUUUUGGUGGGGGAUGGGCUCGCGGCCUAUCAGCUUGUUGGUGGGGUGAUGGCCUGCCAAGGCUUUGACGGGUAGCCGGCCUGAGAGGGUGGGCGGUCACACUGGGACUGAGAUACGGCCCAGACUCCUGCGGGAGGCAGCAGUGGGGGGUAUUGCACAAUGGGCGGAAGCCAGAUGCAGCGACGUCGCGUGAGGGAUGGAGGCCUUCGGGUUGUGAACCUCUUUCGCCGGUGAAGAAGGUCCUGCUCUUUGUGGUGGGGUUGACGGUAGCCGGGUUAUGAAGCGCCGGCUAACUACGUG
Molecule: ribosomal RNA, 499 nt
Filed under: uncultured bacterium
Lineage: Bacteria
Description: partial 16S ribosomal RNA
Rfam family: Bacterial small subunit ribosomal RNA
Source: RNAcentral